Arachis ipaensis is the source of this 2744-nucleotide non-coding RNA. The record is from RefSeq and is a predicted model, not a curated record. Lineage: Eukaryota; Viridiplantae; Streptophyta; Magnoliopsida; Fabales; Fabaceae.
CAGAGUAAUACAUGAAAAUUCAGGAGAUGAAUAAAACCCUAAGUUAUCUACCAUCGAGACAGAGAGAAGAGAAGAGAAUGGCGAUGAACAAAAUCCUAAGUUAUCUACCUUCGAUGUAGCUGUCAUUGUAGUCGCUGGUUCUGCCGCCGUUACCGUCGCCGUUAUAGUCGCCAGUUUCGCCGCUGUUGCCGCCACAGUUGUCACAGGAAGCUUCUUAAUUGAGCCACCUCCUCAUCAACAUUGUGGUUUCAGAUCUGUUUACUCUAUCGCUACGCUUGCCGCUACAGUUUCUGCCGCCGUGAUUUCUACCAUCGUUGCCGCCGUAGUUUCUGCAGUCGAAGGCUUCUGAAUCGAGCCACUGUUUCAUAUCUGUUUUCUCCUUCGAGCUACCGCUGGUAUUCUUCUUUUUCUCCAUAUUUCAUUUGUCUAUGUUUUUCUUCUUCUUUGAAGUUCCAAUUGAUCAACCAGCGCGGCGACUUUUCUUUCGUGCUAUUUUACCGUACUUGAUCAACCACUACCAGCUUAGGGUAAUCAUUUUAAUGUGUUAAAUCGGUGCCUAAUACCGUACUUGUUUCAACAAUGAAGCAAUUGUCAUUUGGUUAUUAUGUUAACUGGACUCAUGAUUAUGGAAUUUUACCAUUGUGCAGCGUCCUGCAAAUUGAAAUGGAAUUGGAAGUGGAAAUGGCUCGUCUGAAUAUGCUUGCAUGCUUUUACUUGUUCAUUCUUGCCACAAUUUCAUGUUUCACUGGGAUAUUCUGCAUUUCUAUAUUAUUCAAUUGCUUUGUGAUUUAUGUGAUAAUAUUUUAUUUUCUUGCUCUUUAAUUUUGUUUGAGAUAUUAUGAUUGCAAGAUAUUAUAAAUUGAUUGCAAUGUAGUUUUCCAAGUUCAUCUUAGACUAAGAUCUUGAGAAUAGUAAAGGUUCAUAUGAUAUACGAGUAUUGCAUUGUCUUUAUUGUUGUUUUGGUUACCAAUUUUGUUCUUUAUUACUUCUCUUGCAAUUAUUCUUAGCUGCUCAAGAAUGCUUAGCCAAUUCUUCAAUUAACAAUUUAUUUUGAUGUUACUGUUUGAAGUAUCUUUUAGAAAUGGGAGAGCUUGUGAUCCAUACAAAUCAUAAGCUUAACUUUUUGUCAUUUCUUCUAUCACCUUAAUUAGAUCCUCAUUUCUCAUUACUUAUUACAGAUGAUGCUGAUGUUUCAUUUUAAAAGGAACGUUCUUAAUUUUUUUUUCAGGGACUUUUCCCCCUUUUGAUCAAAGAUUUGAUAGCUACUGAUUAGUAUAUGCAGUGAUUUAUCCAAUGGAUAGUCAUUUCCUUUUUCAGCAUUAGUUUAUAGAAAUUGGUUUCAGCAUUAUCAUUAUGCAUUUGAGUCAUUUAUGCUGAUAUUUGUGUAACUUUUAGGUUUUGCAAUUAGCAACUCUCUCUGCUUUUAGUUUCAGCAUCCGCUUCCUCUACGCUGAUUACAAAAUGAUUGCAUAAUCCAGUUUGGUCUUGGUCAAUCAAAAAUGGCUCCCGCAUCUGCAAAGUCUAUAAAGGCUAGAGGAUGGAAUCAGAGAGUGCUAAGGUGUAUCCUGAGUCUUCUCCCAUUCCUCCUUCAAAAGUUGCAGAUCCAAGGCCUGGACCAGCUAAAUCUUCUCAAGAUUCUGGACCUGGUCCCAGUAUAUACCGACACCUACAUAUUCCUGUGAAAAUGAUGGAAGAUUUUUUGAGACUGGCUUCCGAAAACACACAGAAAAACUUAGAGAUAUGUGGUGUUCUUGCAGGCUCCCUGAAAAACAGGGUUUUUCAUAUCACUACACUUAUUAUCCCAAAGCAGGAGUCAACUUCAGACUCGGUAAGAUAAUGGUUAUGUUUACUCUUGUGGUUCAGUUUGUUGUUUUUAAAUGAUUAUAUAGACUGUUUCUUCAUUUUUUCUAUUUCCAAUUUUAUCCUAUCAGAUAAAGUGAGACUUCUACUGAUCUGAGGUUGUGAUGCAUGGAGUUUAUGAGUGGUGCAUAAUUUGUUCUUAUUGUUAUCUGAGAUUAUUUAUCUACAUUUGUUGUGAAAGUGCUACUAAACCUCUGUUGGAAUUGUAAAUCAUAUGAUAGGAUUUUUUCAAUUACUUUUAAAGGAAACUGGUUCUUAAGCCAAUUCUCUUGGAAUUAUCGUUGGGGGAUAAAAUGAUUCUCAAAUGGAAUAAUGCAAAACAUAUAUGAAUAGAGCUAAAUACAGUAUUCCUUAGAAUUAGGAGACUCAAGAUUGUAAUUCUCUCAUGAUUCAUUAAUGAUUUUUUUUUAACUGUUUGUUGUAAUUUUAAUUAUUUUCAGUUGAGCAAUGUAUGUCUAAUUUAAUUUCUUGUUCAAUGUUUAAAAUUGAAUAAUGAAGAAGAAAUAUUUGAAGUUCAGGACAGCUUAUCACUCUUUCCUUUAGGCUGGAUACAUGUAAGCUCCAUUAUCCUUGACUGUCACUUAUUCAUUCUUAGCUCUGACGGUGGGUUGAACCAUCAAUGUUUUCCCCAAUAUAGAUAGUUAGAUACAACUGAAGAUAGAAACCCUUUUGAUAGAUAGCAGAACUUAUUUGCAUCCUUCUUUAGUGAUCCUUUGGCGUGUUUGUGAGUUGAGGUUUUGCAGGAAAAGAGAAAGAAGGGAUAUAUUUGAAGAGUAAAAUGAACUCAUAAUUACUCUUCAAACUCUUCCUUGCACUCCCUUCUCCCGAACAUACUCUUAUUGUACUAGUUUUAAAUGUCCAGUUUAUCAUAUUUCUAUAUUUGA